UUUGAAGGAAGCUUCAGGUCUUCUAGGGCCUCAGAUGUUUUUCAGUAUUUAGCAUCUCAUUGAAGUCUCCAAUAAGUCACCAAAGUUACUUUCUAGAACAACAAAAUCUGCUUAACCUUUCUGACACCACAUUUCGCCCCUCUGAUCAAGGAACAUCAUAUAUACAAGAGAGAAAACACGCCAUAUUGAACGAAAGUCAAUGGUUUUUUAUCUGAGUACUUGAUAUUUAUAUUUAUGUUUUUUCCCCAAAGUAGAGCUAACCCUCCACUCAAUCCAACUGGAUUGACGGUAAAGACUCUCUCAGACCCUAGUUAAACUUGUAAAUCUACCAACAUAUUACGACCGCUUUUGGUUUUUAUUAAAAGAAAAUAUCCAGAAAAUUGUGUUGAUGCAUUUCCCGAAGAUGUUGAAUUGUCAAGUCUUGAGGACUCCCCAAGCCUUGAAAAUUCCAGCUCAUGAUUCUCAUUGGGAGGGGCAAUCCCUCAUUUAGGACCACCUUAAGGCACUGCACCUUGUUCAUGGAAAUUUCCUUCACGUCUUGACCUCCAUUCUUCCUUUUUUUUGAACAAACUUCCUGUUU
RNAcentral lists this long non-coding RNA (580 nucleotides) under Brassica napus (rape). RNAcentral's name for it is "long non-coding RNA (BNAP_LNC009884)". Lineage: Eukaryota; Viridiplantae; Streptophyta; Magnoliopsida; Brassicales; Brassicaceae. The record is from RNAcentral.